Molecule: transfer RNA, 92 nt
Filed under: Bacteroidales bacterium
Lineage: Bacteria; Pseudomonadati; Bacteroidota; Bacteroidia; Bacteroidales
Description: tRNA-Ser
Rfam family: tRNA
About the family: Transfer RNA (tRNA) molecules are approximately 80 nucleotides in length. Their secondary structure includes four short double-helical elements and three loops (D, anti-codon, and T loops).
Source: RNAcentral
GGAAGUAUGGCCGAGUGGUCGAAGGCGACACCCUGCUAAGGUGCUGAACUCCCUCCGGGGUUCCGAAAGUUCGAAUCUUUCUGCUUCCGCCA